GGGAGCGGCUGGACAAGAGCGACUGGCGGCACGUCACCACCUGCAUCUACGACCGCUACAAGGCCUUCAAUGACCACGUAGUCACGUCGCGCUGGUACCAGAGGAUGGCUGGCGCCAUCGUCGACCAGUUCCCUUUUCUGUUUCCGAACCUGUCUUCGCUCCAGGCACUGAAGCUGGUCCGAGGCCGGCUGAAGAAUAAGUUCAAAAACAACCGACGGCGGAAGAAGG
Molecule: long non-coding RNA, 228 nt
Organism: Pollicipes pollicipes
Lineage: Eukaryota; Metazoa; Arthropoda; Thecostraca; Pollicipedomorpha; Pollicipedidae
Exons: 3
Source: RefSeq, a predicted model, not a curated record